AGAAAAAAACUAUUUACUAAUAUCUCAAAUUAGAAGCUUGUCAUAAAAGUUGCCCUAAUCUCUUCAGAUCAUCACAUCAACUCUUGAAUGUCAUCUUCCCUAAUCUCAACGAUGCUCUCCGCCUUUAAUAGGUAGAUGUGUCUUCUUCUUUGGGCUUUUGUUGUGUGCCCUAAUCUCAUGGAAAUUCGUCCAUUAAAUUGAUUAAGGUUUGUCUUAUUCCCUGUGUUGUUGCUGCUCGAUCUGUUCGAAAUAGAAUCCCUCAAAGCUUUCCUCGAGAGAAAACUUCAGAUGUGUUCAUUCUUCUAAUCAAGUUGUUGGUGCUGUUGUUGUUUGCCCUAAUCUCAACGAAAUUCUUCCAUUAAAUUGAUAAAAUCAUCUUCUUCUUCUUCUGGUGUUGUUGCUGCUCUAUCUGGUCGAAAUAUAAUCCAUCAAAACUUUGCUCGAGAGAAAACUACAGGACUGUUCAAUCUUCUAAUCGAGGUGUUGUUGUGCUUCUUCUAAAUUGAAUCAAAAACAACUUUGCCUAAGACAAAAUUUCAGGUUUAAGUAAAAAGAAUUGCAGGUGAUCCUCUGUUGCGUUGCAAUCCAUGUUAAAUUCCAAGAAAAUCUUAAGAAAAGUCAAAGAAGGUACUGUUAGAUGGCCAUUUAUUCAUGAAGUAUGCAACUUGGUUGCCUUGCUAUAAUAGUACAUAAUGUCCACAUCUUUGGUCUUGAAAAUAUGAAUAGUAUUUCUAAGGUUGAGGUUGCUAGUUAUUUUUAUAAGAAUUCAUUUGAAUUACUGAUUACAUUUGGUCGUUAAUCGGACUCAUAUUCUGUUUUGUCAAAGCUUGGGUCUUGGGUAUCUGAAGAUCUUUUAUGUUGUGGAGGAGCAACAAAUGUUCAUGGACAUAUCAUAAGAAUUUUGUUUUACCUUAAUUGAGAAACAUUGUUUUGGUCUUCCUGAACUAAGAAUUCGGUCGAUUAAAUUGAAUGAAUCUUUUUCUUCUAUUCAGCUUAA
Molecule: long non-coding RNA, 997 nt
Organism: Solanum pennellii
Lineage: Eukaryota; Viridiplantae; Streptophyta; Magnoliopsida; Solanales; Solanaceae
Exons: 2
Source: RefSeq, a predicted model, not a curated record